ACCAACGUAGCUCAAUGGAAGAGCGCCAGGUUCAUAGCCUGGAGGUUGGAGGUUCGAAUCCUCCCGUUGGUU
Non-coding RNA from Candidatus Woesebacteria bacterium, 72 nucleotides. NCBI's taxonomy places the organism in Bacteria, Candidatus Woeseibacteriota. The record is from Rfam.